UGGGGAAUAUUGCACAAUGGGCGCAAGCCUGAUGCAGCAACGCCGCGUGUGGGAUGAAGGCCUUCGGGUCGUAAACCACUUUCGCCAGGGACGAAGCGCAAGUGACGGUACCUGGUAAAGAAGCACCGGCUAACUACGUGCCAGCAGCCGCGGUGAUACGUAGGGUGCGAGCGUUGUCCGGAAUUAUUGGGCGUAAAGAGCUUGUAGGCGGUUUGUCACGUCGGGAGUGAAAACUCAGGGCUUAACCCUGAGCCUGCUUUCGAUACGGGCUGACUAGAGGAAGGUAGGGGAGAAUGGAAUUCCCGGUGGAGCGGUGGAAUGCGCAGAUAUCGGGAGGAACACCAGUGGCGAAGGCGGUUCUCUGGACCUUUCCUGACGCUGAGAAGCGAAAGCGUGGGGAGCAAACAGGCUUAGAUACCCUGGUAGUCCACGCUGUAAACGGUGGGUACUAGGUGUGGGGCAUAUUCAACGUGCUCUGUGCCGUAGCUAACGCAUUAAGUACCCCGCCU
RNAcentral lists this ribosomal RNA (509 nucleotides) under uncultured bacterium. RNAcentral describes it as "bacterial SSU rRNA". It matches the Rfam family "Bacterial small subunit ribosomal RNA", at positions 355 to 874 of the family's 1533-position model. The record is from RNAcentral.